AGUGAACGCUGGCGGUAUGCCUAACACAUGCAAGUCGAACGGCAGCACAGUAAGAUCUUGCUCUUACUGUUGGCGAGUGGCGGACGGGUGAGGAAUGCAUCGGAAUCUUCUUUUUCUUGGGUGAUAACGGAGGGAAGCAUACGCUAAUACCGCAUACUUCCUACGGCUGAAAUCAGAAGAGCUUGGGAGCUUGCGCGAUUGAAUUAGCCGAUGUCGGAUUAGCUAGUUGGCUUGGUAAGGGCCCACCAAGGCGACGAUCCGUAGCUGGCCUGAGAGGAUGAUCAGCCACACUGGAACUGAGACACGGUCCAGACUCCUACGGGAGGCAGCAGUGGGGAAUAUUGGACAAUGGGCGAAAGCCUGAUCCAGCCAUACCGCGUGGGUGAAGAAGGUCUUCGGGUUGUAAAGCCCUUUUGUUGGGAAAGAAAAGCAGCAGGUUAAUACCCCGCUGUUCUGACGGUACCCAAAGAAUAAGCCCCGGCUAACUUCAUG
RNAcentral lists this ribosomal RNA (492 nucleotides) under uncultured bacterium. Its description in RNAcentral is "partial 16S ribosomal RNA". It matches the Rfam family "Bacterial small subunit ribosomal RNA", at positions 29 to 507 of the family's 1533-position model. The record is from RNAcentral.